GACGAACGCUGGCGGCGUGCUUAACACAUGCAAGUCGAACGAAGUGGCGAACGGGUGAGUAACGCGUAAUCAACCUGCCCUUCAGAGGGGGACAACAGUUGGAAACGACUGCUGAUACCGCAUACUGAAGGAGGGGAUUGCGUCGGAUUAGCUAGGUGGGGGGGAAACGGCCCACCAAGGCGAUGAUGAGUAGCCGGCCUGAGAGGAGUAUCGGCCACAUUGGGACUUAGACACGGCCCAGACUCCUACGGGAGGCAGCAGUGGGGAAUCUUCCGCAAUGGACGAAAGUCUGACGGAGCAACGCCGCGUGAGUGAUGACGGCCUUCGGGUUGUAAAGCUCUGUUAAUCGGGACGCGGUACCGGAAUAGAAAGCCACGGCUAACUACGUGCCAGCAGCCGCGGUAAUUC
RNAcentral lists this ribosomal RNA (408 nucleotides) under uncultured bacterium. RNAcentral describes it as "partial 16S ribosomal RNA". It matches the Rfam family "Bacterial small subunit ribosomal RNA", at positions 28 to 526 of the family's 1533-position model. The record is from RNAcentral.